This is a transfer RNA of Lobosporangium transversale, 81 nucleotides long. It matches the Rfam family "tRNA". From Rfam's summary of the family: Transfer RNA (tRNA) molecules are approximately 80 nucleotides in length. Their secondary structure includes four short double-helical elements and three loops (D, anti-codon, and T loops). The record is from Rfam. Lineage: Eukaryota; Fungi; Mortierellomycota; Mortierellomycetes; Mortierellales; Mortierellaceae.
GUCAACAUGGCCGAGCGGUUAAGGCGUGAGACUCGAAAUCUCAUGGGAUCUCCCGCGCAGGUUCAAAUCCUGCUGUUGACG